This 69-nucleotide transfer RNA is filed under the name Phyllodytes sp. 5 BLB-2020. RNAcentral describes it as "tRNA-Val". It matches the Rfam family "tRNA". Rfam says of the family: Transfer RNA (tRNA) molecules are approximately 80 nucleotides in length. Their secondary structure includes four short double-helical elements and three loops (D, anti-codon, and T loops). Further hydrogen bonds mediate the characteristic L-shaped molecular structure. tRNAs have two regions of fundamental functional importance: the anti-codon, which is responsible for specific mRNA codon recognition, and the 3' end, to which the tRNAs corresponding amino acid is attached (by aminoacyl-tRNA synthetases). tRNAs cope with the degeneracy of the genetic code in two manners: having more than one tRNA (with a specific anti-codon) for a particular amino acid; and 'wobble' base-pairing, i.e. permitting non-standard base-pairing at the 3rd anti-codon position. The record is from RNAcentral. Lineage: Eukaryota; Metazoa; Chordata; Amphibia; Anura; Hylidae.
CAAAAUAUAGCUUAAUCAAAGCAUCUCGUUUACACCGAGAAGUUAUCUGUGCAAUCCGGAUUAUUUUGA